GGAUGAUGCUGGCAGCGCCGUGGGAGGAUGCUGAUCUACCCAGGAGUGGGGGAGAAGAUUCUUGUCUUCUUCUUGGAGCUGUGGAUACGUCCCAGAGCACGGGGAAAAGUGCAGAGUGGUGCCAAGGAAAGCACAGGGGGGUGGAUAAACGUAUGCAGCGACAACAGCAGCACCGCCAGCAGCAGCUCCCACCUCCAAUGUGCCACCUCAGCAAGCGGUGCUCAGGACUACACGACCUCUCCAACUUGGGGACCUCAGCGCCCAGCAGCUCCCAGUGCCCCCAGUUUGCACCAGCGCCCCCAAUCCUGGGAUGGAGAGCAUCCAACCGCGGGACACGGACACCCAGCGGGCUGUUGAGUUUUCUUACCAGCAGAUGUCAGCUCCCGCUCGGGGAUGCGCAUCCAGCUCACAGCCGGCACCGCUCGGAGCUUUGCAGUGCGCGCCUUGGGGUUCCCUUUCCUAUGGGGCAGCGCACACUGCCUGGGUUCCCCACGCUGAUCCCAAGUCGGGCACUGAUGUUCUGAACUCACAGCCGUGCUCGCAGCUCCCGCCGGCCGCACACAACCGGGCGAUGCUCCACGGGGAUGCGGAGGUGACUGUGAGAGCUGGGACAGCCCAGGGACAUUG
RNAcentral lists this long non-coding RNA (627 nucleotides) under Phasianus colchicus (ring-necked pheasant). RNAcentral describes it as "lncRNA (ENSPCLG00000014927.1)". Lineage: Eukaryota; Metazoa; Chordata; Aves; Galliformes; Phasianidae. The record is from RNAcentral.